Molecule: ribosomal RNA, 253 nt
Filed under: uncultured bacterium
Lineage: Bacteria
Description: partial 16S ribosomal RNA
Rfam family: Bacterial small subunit ribosomal RNA
Source: RNAcentral
UACGUAGGGGGCAAGCGUUGUCCGGAAUCAUUGGGCGUAAAGCGCGUGUAGGCGGCUUGGUAAGUCUGGCGUGAAAUCUUGGGGCUCAACCCCAAGCGUGCGCUGGAUACUGCCUCGCUCGAGUCCGGGAGAGGAAAGCGGAAUUCCCAGUGUAGCGGUGAAAUGCGCAGAUAUUGGGAAGAACACCGGUGGCGAAGGCGGCUUUCUGGAACGGUACUGACGCUGAGACGCGAAAGCGUGGGGAGCAAACAGG